Molecule: ribosomal RNA, 695 nt
Filed under: uncultured Lachnospiraceae bacterium
Lineage: Bacteria; Bacillati; Bacillota; Clostridia; Lachnospirales; Lachnospiraceae
Description: bacterial SSU rRNA
Rfam family: Bacterial small subunit ribosomal RNA
Source: RNAcentral
CUAACACAUGCAAGUCGAACGGAGCUUAGAGAGCUUGCUUUUUAAGCUUAGUGGCGAACGGGUGAGUAACGCGUGAGUAACCUGCCCUAGAGUGGGGGACAACAGUUGGAAACGACUGCUAAUACCGCAUAAGCCCACGGUACCGCAUGGUACUGAGGGAAAAGGAAUUAUUCGCUUUAGGAUGGACUCGCGUCCAAUUAGCUAGUUGGUGAGGUAACGGCCCACCAAGGCGACGAUUGGUAGCCGGACUGAGAGGUUGAACGGCCACAUUGGGACUGAGACACGGCCCAGACUCCUACGGGAGGCAGCAGUGGGGGAUAUUGCACAAUGGGGGAAACCCUGAUGCAGCGACGCCGCGUGGAGGAAGAAGGUUUUCGGAUUGUAAACUCCUGUCGUUAGGGACGAUAAUGACGGUACCUAACAAGAAAGCACCGGCUAACUACGUGCCAGCAGCCGCGGUAAAACGUAGGGUGCAAGCGUUGUCCGGAAUUACUGGGUGUAAAGGGAGCGCAGGCGGGAAGACAAGUUGGAAGUGAAAACCAUGGGCUCAACCCAUGAAUUGCUUUCAAAACUGUUUUUCUUGAGUAGUGCAGAGGUAGAUGGAAUUCCCGGUGUAGCGGUGGAAUGCGUAGAUAUCGGGAGGAACACCAGUGGCGAAGGCGGUCUACUGGGCACCAACUGACGCUGAGGCUCGA